This 492-nucleotide ribosomal RNA is filed under the name uncultured bacterium. RNAcentral's name for it is "partial 16S ribosomal RNA". It matches the Rfam family "Bacterial small subunit ribosomal RNA", at positions 29 to 507 of the family's 1533-position model. The record is from RNAcentral.
AGUGAACGCUGGCGGUAUGCCUAAUACAUGCAAGUCGAGCGGCCGCACAGUGAGCUUUUGCCUCUGCCGUUAGCGGCUGGCGGGCGGGUGACGCAUACAUCGCAUACCUCUUAUUCUGGGAUGAUAACGUAGGGCAGCUUCCGCUACUACAUCAUAUGUUGUACGGCUGAAAGCAGUAGAUCAUCGCACUUUUCGCGACUCAUUGAGCUGAUGUCGGAUUAGCUAGUUGGUGAGGUAAAGGCUCACCAAGGCGACGAUCCGUAGCUGAGCUGAGAGGAUGAUCGGCCACACUGGAACUGAGACACGGUCCAGACUCCUACGGGAGGCAGCAGUAGGGAAUCUUCCGCAAUGGGCGCAAGCCUGACGGAGCCAUGCCGCGUGAGUGAUGAAGGCCUUCGGAUUGUAAAGCUCUGUUAUUAGGGAAGAAAAGAUGUGUGAUAAUCUCUGCACGUCUUGACGGUACCUAAUGAGUAAGCAACGGCUAACUUCGUG